RNAcentral lists this ribosomal RNA (447 nucleotides) under uncultured bacterium. Its description in RNAcentral is "partial 16S ribosomal RNA". It matches the Rfam family "Bacterial small subunit ribosomal RNA", at positions 29 to 523 of the family's 1533-position model. The record is from RNAcentral.
AACGAACGCUGGCGGCAGGCUUAACACAUGCAAGUCGAGCGCCCCGCAAGGGGAGCGGCAGACGGGUGGGUAACGCGUGGGAACAUACCCUUUCCUGCGGAAUAGCUCCGGGAAACUGGAAUUAAUACCGCAUACGCCCUACGGGGGAAAGAUUUAUCGGGGAAGGAUUGGCCCGCGUUGGAUUAGCUAGUUGGUGGGGUAAAGGCCUACCAAGGCGACGAUCCAUAGCUGGUCUGAGAGGAUGAUCAGCCACAUUGGGACUGAGACAAGGCCCAAACUCCUACGGGAGGCAGCAGUGGGGAAUAUUGGACAAUGGGCGCAAGCCUGAUCCAGCCAUGCCGCGUGAGUGAUGGAGGCCUUAGGGUUGUAAAGCUCUUUCACCGGAGAAGAUAAUGACGGUAUCCGGAGAAGAAGCCCCGGCUAACUUCGUGCCAGCCGCCGCGGUAA